UACGAAGGGGGCUAGCGUUGCUCGGAAUCACUGGGCGUAAAGGUGCGUAGGCGGUCUUUAAGUCAGGGGUGAAAUCCUGGAGCUCAACUCCAGAACUGCCUUUGAUACUGAAGAUCUUGAGUUCGGGAGAGGUGAGUGGAACUGCGAGUGUAGAGGUGAAAUUCGUAGAUAUUCGCAAGAACACCAGUGGCGAAGGCGGCCGACUGGUCCGGUUCUGACGCUGAGGCGCGAAAGCGUGGGGAGCGAACCGG
Molecule: ribosomal RNA, 251 nt
Filed under: uncultured bacterium
Lineage: Bacteria
Description: partial 16S ribosomal RNA
Rfam family: Bacterial small subunit ribosomal RNA
Source: RNAcentral